CAUUCUUUGGACUAGUAUCUUCAGAUCUCCCUCCAAUGGUUGCCUCCAGAUGCUGCAGACUGAAUCCAUCGUUGUUGUUCCCCUCAUCAACAAAGGAAUCCUCAUUUGGACCUUUCUUUAUAGGUACAUCUACACACAAAGUCUCAUCGGAAUGGCUACCAAACUCUUCAACACGUCUUUUAUGUACUGAAUCUGAGUUUUCCCCAUUUUCCAGCUUCUCUGCUGUCCAAGUAGACACGCCCACAUCAUGUGAAUUUACUGCAAGUCCAUCUGAAAAUCACAAGUAUGAAGAGCAAAAAACCAUUAAUGUGGCUGCCUGCAGUAUAAAUUGAAGGAAAUAGAUCACUGAAUCCCGGUGACGAAAGAGUAGAGAAUCCACCAUCAAAACAACAACCUAAAACAGAAUGCAUAGAAAUGCUUUAACAGGACUCCACAGCCAAAUUCAGAGUAAAAUUAGUUUGCUGAAAAGUGAUCGUAUGGGAGAAAGCCAGAGCAGCUGAACGACUCCAAACUGUUUUCCUUCUCCUGUUCUCCACUGCCAUUUGAUAUAGAUAUCCAGACUUUGGCCACUUUACAACACAAUUCCACAACAAAAAACUUACUUUCGGAGACAAUCUGAUAUGAUCAGCCUUCCAUUGAUGUGUUGUCAGAGUUAUGUUAAGGGUGCUUCUGACGACAAAAUCUAACCAAUACCACUACAAUGAGAACAACAUGGCGCUUUUCUGUUUAUUUUGCAUGUCAACUAAAACAUAAUGGUAGAAUAUAACUAAACUCGAAAGAAAAGGGGUAAACUCUUAAAUGGCCAGAGAGGCUAAAGAUUUUACCUCUAUAGCCAUCACCCUGGCUGAUCCACAAACUGGAUAGAAAAAGAAACCCCCACAAAAGAAGAACCAGAGACAAGGAAAUCUUGUAUAACCGGUUCCUUAUUCCACUGAUAUCCUUCUCGGAAGCUCUUCUUUGCAGAAAAGCCCUUUGUGAUCUCUGCAUUGCUACAUCAAUCCAAGAUAAGUCUUCCGAUCGUUCACUUGAACAGGAAAGAAUCAACGGGAAAACCUGCUCCAAACAAUGCUAGGCAUCAGUCUCAACACAACCACUAGAAUAAUAACGAAAAUAGGGGAGAAGGUUAACCUAUUGUGAAAGAAAACAUGGAGCAUAGCACAUAGAAUCAAGGCAGGAAACAGGUCAUGGUUUUUAGAUAGUCAUGGAACUAAUGUGAGACGUGAUUCUUAGUUUUAGAGCUGAAUGCUCUGCUUUUGAAUUCAUCAAGGCCAAGGGGUACAACACGAGACAGUCGAUCAUUCUUUGGACUAGUAUCUUCAGAUCUCCCUCCAAUGGUUGCCUCCAGAUGCUGCAGACUGAAUCCAUCGUUGUUUUUCCCCUCGUCAACAAAGAAAUCCUCAUUUGGACCUUUCUUUAUAGGUACAUCUACACACAAAGUCUCAUCGGAAUGGCUACCAAACUCUUCAACACGUCUUUUAUGUACUGAAUCUGAGUUUUCCCCAUUUUCCAGCUUCUCUGCUGUCCAAGUAGACACGCCCACAUCAUGUGAAUUUACUGCA
RNAcentral lists this long non-coding RNA (1559 nucleotides) under Linum usitatissimum (flax). RNAcentral's name for it is "long non-coding RNA (LUSI_LNC002489)". The record is from RNAcentral. Lineage: Eukaryota; Viridiplantae; Streptophyta; Magnoliopsida; Malpighiales; Linaceae.